Molecule: small nuclear RNA, 106 nt
Organism: Arvicola amphibius (Eurasian water vole)
Lineage: Eukaryota; Metazoa; Chordata; Mammalia; Rodentia; Cricetidae
Source: RefSeq, a predicted model, not a curated record
GUUAAACUUUGGCAUCACAUGUCCUAAAAUUACAAUGAUAUAGAGAAGAUUAACUUGCCCAUGUGCAAGGAUGGCACAUAAUUAAUCCUUUUUAUUUUAUAUUAUU